UACGGCGACCAUGGCGAAAGGGAAACGCCCGGCUCCAUUCCGAACCCGGAAGCUAAGCCUUUCAGCGCCGAUGGUACUGCACGGGAGACUGUGUGGGAGAGUAGGACGUCGCCGGAC
RNAcentral lists this ribosomal RNA (117 nucleotides) under Actinomycetes bacterium. Lineage: Bacteria; Bacillati; Actinomycetota; Actinomycetes. The record is from RNAcentral. RNAcentral also lists the same sequence under 3 other names.